ACGCACGCUGGCGGCGUGCUUAACACAUGCAAGUCGAACGGAAAGGCCCUGCUUUUGUGGGGUGCUCGAGUGGCGAACGGGUGAGUAACACGUGAGUAACCUGCCCUUGACUUUGGGAUAACUUCAGGAAACUGGGGCUAAUACCGGAUAGGAGCUCCUGCUGCAUGGUGGGGGUUGGAAAGUUUCGGCGGUUGGGGAUGGACUCGCGGCUUAUCAGCUUGUUGGUGGGGUAGUGGCUUACCAAGGCUUUGACGGGUAGCCGGCCUGAGAGGGUGACCGGCCACAUUGGGACUGAGAUACGGCCCAGACUCCUACGGGAGGCAGCAGUGGGGAAUAUUGCACAAUGGGCGGAAGCCUGAUGCAGCAACGCCGCGUGCGGGAUGACGGCCUUCGGGUUGUAAACCGCUUUCGCCUAUGACGAAGCGUGAGUGACGGUAAUGGGUAAAGAAGCACCGGCUAACUACGUG
Molecule: ribosomal RNA, 467 nt
Filed under: uncultured bacterium
Lineage: Bacteria
Description: partial 16S ribosomal RNA
Rfam family: Bacterial small subunit ribosomal RNA
Source: RNAcentral